RNAcentral lists this ribosomal RNA (422 nucleotides) under uncultured bacterium. RNAcentral describes it as "bacterial SSU rRNA". It matches the Rfam family "Bacterial small subunit ribosomal RNA", at positions 97 to 518 of the family's 1533-position model. The record is from RNAcentral.
GGCAGACGGGUGAGUAACACGUGAACAAUCUACCCUUGAGUGUGGGAAUAACCCGCGAAAGCGGGGCGUAAUACCGCAUGACAUCCUCUUGUUGCAUGAUGAGGGGAUCAAAGGCGCAAGCCGCUCGAGGAGGAGUUCGCGGCUGAUUAGCUAGUUGGUGAGGUAACGGCCCACCAAGGCAACGAUCAGUAGCCGGCCUGAGAGGGCGAACGGCCACACUGGAACUGAGACACGGUCCAGACUCCGUACGGGAGGCAGCAGUGGGGGAAUUUUUGCGCAAUGGGCGAAAGCCUGACGCAGCAACGCCGCCGUGGAGGAUGAAGGUCUUCGGAUCGUAAACUCCUGUCAGCGGGGGCGAAAGCCUGAGAGGGUUUGACUGUACCCGCUGAGGAAGCCACGGCUAACUCCGUGCCAGCAGCCGC